Molecule: long non-coding RNA, 7264 nt
Filed under: Heterocephalus glaber (naked mole-rat)
Lineage: Eukaryota; Metazoa; Chordata; Mammalia; Rodentia; Bathyergidae
Description: lncRNA (ENSHGLG00100048607.1)
Source: RNAcentral
CCCUUUAUAAGGAUGUAGUGUCCAUCUUUGUCUCUCUUAAUCAGUGUUGGUUUGAAAUCUACUUGAUCUGCAAAGAGGAUAGCUACUACUGCUUUUUUGGGGGGUUCCUGUCACAUGGAGCAUUAUUUUCCACCUUUUAAUUUUUUUUUUUUUUUGGUAGCAGGGAUGGAACUCUCAGGACCUUGCGCUUGCCAGGAGUUGGUGGAAUCACUGAGCUAAAUUCCUGGCCUCACCCUUUAACGUUUAAUCUAUUAGUUUCUUUUUAAAUUAAGUGUGUUUCUUGUUAUCAGCCUAUUGUUGGAUCUUGCUUCUUGACCCAUUCUGGCAGUCUAUUUCUUUUUAUUGGUGAAUUGCACCAUUAAAUUUGAUGGUUAUAACUGAUAUAUAAUGACUUAUCAUUGUCAUGACUUUUUCUGUUUUUUGAUUCUCCCCUUUGCAUUUAAUUUCUUGUUGUGCUCAUUGGAUUCAUUCUUCUGGGCUGCCUGGGGUUGUGAUACUUGUUGCCUUUUCCUAGAAUAUUGUCUAAAAUUCUUUGGAGUGCUGUUUUGGUAUUCAUGAAGUUCCUAAAGUGCUCUUUAUCCUGAAAGUAUCUUAUUUCUCCAUCAAUUUUGAAAGAUAGUUUUGCAGUGUACAUCAAUCUGGGUUGUAGACUGUUUUCCUUUAGGGACUGAAAUAUGUUACUCCAAGCUCUUCUUGCCUUAACGGUUUCCAUUCAGAAGUCUGCUGUGAUUCUGGUGGGCUUUCCUUUGUCUGUGAUUUAUUACUUUUCUCUAACUGCUUGUAGAAUUUUGUUCUUCUGUUGGGUUUCUGGAAUCUUAACUAUUAUAUGCCUAUGUGUAGAUUUUUUUUUGAUCAAGGCUAUUUGGAGUGCCAUAUGACUCACUUAUCUGUAUGUCAAGUUCUUUCUCCCUACUUGGGAAGUUUUCUGCCAUCACUUCUGUGAACAAUUUUUAUGUCUUCUGCACUCUCUCCUGUUUCUUCAUUGACUUUGAUUAGUCUGAUGUUAUUCUUCUUUGGAUCGUCUAGCAGCUGCUGGAUUGAUUUCUCAUGUUCCCUUACUUUUUUAAAGAAUUUUUUCUUUUUAUGAUCAUAAAUUGCAGUCCUAUCUUCUAUAUCUGAAAUUCUAUCCUUGCAUUGGCUUAUUCUGCUGUGUAAACUUUCAGUGGAGUUUUUAAUCUCCUGGAACGCUGUUUGGAUCUGUUUUAUGGAUUCCAUUUAUUUCCUAUGUUGGGAUUCCAUCAUGUUCCUCAGCUCCUCUGCUUUUUAAUCUGUGUCCUCUCUAGAUUUAUUAAUCAUGUCUUGCACUAUGGGCACAGUUUCUGGUGUUAUCUGAGAAAUUAUAUCUGAUUUCAUUUUUUCCAGAUCCUUUUUGUUUCCAGUUCAGGGAUUCCAAGUGGUUGAGUAUCAGAUUGUUCCAUCUCAUUUCCCUUUGGGGUUGCUUUUGGUGAACUGGAAGUUUGGUUUUGAGAGUUGUUUACAUGUCUUCUCAUUUCAAAGGUGGGGUGCUGCUGGUGCACCCAUGGCUCACCUCCUCAGUGCUGGGGGCAGCUCUACUCCUUGGCACUGGAGGUGGCUCUUGCAUUACUGUUAUCUACAGUAAUGCUAUAAUGAAUAGUACCCCAGAGCUCUUGCUCCUGCUCCUAUUGAACUGUAACCCUUGCCCAUUGAUCAGUCUUUCCUCAUUCUUCUCUUACCUCUACUCUCCCUGAUCUAUGGUAACAAUCUUUCUGUUCUCAACUUCUAUGAGAUCAGUGUUUUUAGAAAUAUGAAUGAGGUCUAUGGUACUUGUCUUUCCAUACCUGGCUUACUAAACUCCCAAUUCAUGUGAUCACAAAUGAGACUUUAUUCUUUAAUAUGACUGAACACAAUUCUAACCAUAGAGAUUAUUUAGGAGGUAAAGAGAAAGAUGCUAAAUAUUCUUGCUCUCAUGGUUAGGGUUUAACCAUCAGUUACAUAUUUGAUUAGAGGGUAACAUUUUAUUUUAAUAAACACCUUCAUUUACCUUUAUUUCCAUAAUAAUUUUAUAAAGAGAAUUCUAGCUAUCAGCUACAAAAUCCCAAAUAUAAAGGAAGUAGUAAUAUAACCAAUUUCAACAUGUAGCUUAAAUUUUGUAGGGAUAAUCAUGUGAUCAAUUGUAUGCAAAUUUGGCAGGUUAGACUGCUAUUACAUAUCCCUAAUCUAUAAAAUAUGUUUGGAUAAUAUUUUAUUAUAUUGCAUUGCUUUACUUAUUACAUAAUAAGAAUCAUAUCACCAGUACCAUGGACAGUGUAUGACAUAUAGUAAACCUCACAAUAUUUAAUAGAUAAGUAAAUGGACAAAUGAAACAAUUUAUCCUAUUAUAGCAAAAAGAAAAUUUGUUUAGAACAUGGAUUGAAGAUUAAAUUUACCCUAUGUGCCAGAAAAAUAAUGUUUCACUGAACAUUGUAGAAAAUUGGAAAAUUUUUCCAUAGAUUCCAACUUGACUUAUGAGUUUUAGGCAAUUAAUAAAAUAUGGAAAUAUGGAUGCUGGGAAAAUGGGCCAAGAAACUAGUCAAAAAUCUACACAAGAGAUAAUUCUUUAGACUAGGAUAAUGGUGUUAAAGGGAAGAGAGCUACUAAAAAUAGGAACAGAACUAAUGUAAUACAAUAUGUGAAAGGCUAACUUUAAGAAAUGGUGUUACUAUGAAAACAGAGAAAUAUGUUUGGCUUUAGGUUGAAAAAUGGUGACAUCCUUAACAAAAAUAUAUUAAUAUGAAAGCAUGUAUGCAUAUAUAGAACUCAAUCUUCUGGCUAUUAUAAAAUACUGUUGCUUAUUUGUUUAGUUCUCUAUAAAGAACCAGCAAUGAGUCCAUCAGAAAAUAUCUCUAACUUAAUUGUAGAAAUGAAACAUGGCUUUAGAAGCUUAAAUUGUGAGUUAUAGAUAUAUGUGAAGAAAAAGUGCAUGUUCUGAUGUACUUGGAGAAUGUAGUAAGUGUGUGAUUAUUCUUUCUUUUUUUGUUGUUGUUCUUUAGUAUAUGGAAGUAAUACUGGAGUGGUACAAGGUGGCAAAUUAUGCCUUCUAGAUGAUCAUUAUGUUUGCUGAUAUAUUAAAUUUUGGAAUGACAUAAUCUAGCAAAAAUAAUCAAAUACAGAAAUUAGGAAAAUGCUUAAUACUCUCAGAGAACCCUUAAUUCUUUCUUGCCUUCAUGUUAAAUUUUCUCAAUCUAUUCACUCCCCCCACCUUCAAGCCACCUACCGAAUAAUGUCACACUCUGUAAGAUUACUUUAUGCCAUGCUCAGCCUCUAUCUCUAAGAACCAUUAAAAAAUAUUUUAUAAAUUCCCACUACCAAAUCCACACAUGCAUCAUAAAAGAAUGCCUCUCCUAUUAGGAAAAUGUGUUUUAUAUGUUCUUGAUUAAAGAUGUCUUCAUAGUGAAUCCCUUCCCUUUUCUGGGUAUACUCUGAAAAAUUUCUUGCUUUUAUUUCUCCAUCAUCAAAAUUUCUUCUUUAAAAUAUUCCAGUUAAUAAAACACAUGGUUUAGUCAUGAUAUUUUCCCCCACAUUAUACAGAGAAAAAGAGCCAUUUUGAAAUCCAUAUCUCUCUCUGUUGACAUUUUCACCAAACUUCUUGAAUCAUUGGUACAUAUUUGUUUACAAAGUAAGUAUUUCCAUUCUCUCCUGAACCACCAAUAAGUGUUUUCUCUAUCACCCUAACGUAUUUCUUCCUGUCAAGAAACCAUGCACACUACAAGUAGUCAUCAUCUUGCUAGAUAUAGCUCAGUCAUAUACUCCUUUCCCUUGCUCCUUUUCCCUCCAACUUCUUUCUCAACUUCAUCUCCAUCUUCCUUUGUUACUUUUUUUUUUUUUUUUUGCUCCUCAACCUCAAAAUUUUGGGUACUUCUGGUUCAUUGAGUUAGUUUCUUCUGUUUCUAUUAUCACUUUUCUGAAGAUUUAAUCCAAACUGAGUUCCAAGUGCUGCCAAGGUGUUUAUUAGUGAUUGACAAUAGCAUAUCUCCUACUUGAACCCCUUCUAAGAAUGUGAGACUUUGUAUAUCUAUCUGCUUGACAAUUUCAUUUAGAUUUUGUUGGCUAUUUCAUAUUGAAUGCACCCAAACUAUAUUUCUAUUAACUACUCAUAUCUCAGAAGUGACAUUUCAUUCUUCUUUUUAGUGAGACAAAAAAAUCAAGGAUUCACCUUUGAUUUCUCUUAUCCUUCUUCUACUUCUCUCCUAUCCUCUCAUACUACACUUUCAUAUGUCAAUAAAUUCUGUCUUCUCAGUUGGGAAAAUAUCUAAAGUUUUGAAAAAUUUCACUACCUGCCCCAGUAGCAGUCUAAUUUGUGACAUUGUAACUUCUUAUCUGAUUUAUUGCACCAAUCUCCUAAAUGUUCUCUUACUUCUGUCUUUAACUUUAAAUAUAUUCUCAACCUAGCAGUCAGGAAUAUUUCAUUAAAUGUAUCUCAUGUGGUAUCAUCAUUCAUUUUAAAACUACGCAUACCUUCCAAUAAUUUUCAAGGCAAAGGGCAGUCCUUAAAAUGACUUAUAAAAAUCUAUAUGAUCUGUCCUCCAUUAUCUCUUUGUUUUAAUCUUUUGUAAGAAUUUUCUUGGCCAUGAUAUCUAAAGCUGAAUUUUCAACUAGGUUAUUUUCUAUUCUGCUACCCUACUUUCUUUUUAAAUAUUUAUCACUAUCAAGUAUACUAUAUACUUACUUGUUCAUCUUGUGUAGUGACUGUUGUUUCCACUAGAAUUUAAACUCCAAAAGCAUGGUGAUUUUUUGUGCUGUCUUUGCUGAUACACUCCAAGAACCCUAUGGAGUGUGUGUCCUGGAAGAGCAUCUCACAAUUCACAGCAUGCAUUGCCUAGUUGUUGAAAGAAGAAAUGAAUAGAAUUUUCAGAGUUUUGUGUGAGGUUGUUGGUGAAAAAUCAUCAUCUGAAUUAAAAAUAAGAAAUAAACUAUAAGUUUGAGAAGAAAAAGAAAAGAAAAUCCAAGUAAAGAUAAUAGGGUCCCAAUUUUAACUUUUCCAGGAAAUAUACAAGAUUUGGAGGGAAUCAGAAGUCAUGGGAGAGCAAUCAAGUUUCUUAAACUUUAUAUAAAAUACUAAAGCUUCUUAGUUUUCUGUGUUUUCAGUCUAAUACCUGAGUUUUGAGGUACACUUCUUCAUAAUUUGAGAUAACAAUGACAAACAAAAGAAUAAGAUUUUCACAAAUAAAUCCCAUAAAUCUAAGCUACUGAGUUUAACACAAUUCUAAUGCCCUAUGUUUUCUUUUAUUUGUCUUCAUUUCAGAUCCAAACGUGUCUAGCAUUUUGAAGUAGCAAAACUACUAUAUAACUCAUAAAUGUUGCAUAUAACAAAACAUGAAACUUUUUAAAAUUUUUUUUACAUAUCUAAUUUUCUUUAAUUAGUUAGUAACUUAGCAAUAUGUGAAUGAGUUUUCUCAGGGGCCUAUUAUUCUUCCACAUAUGAAUCAGGUUGUGAGAAUAUAGCUAAAUGGACCUAAAAUAGAAUUGUUUCAUCUACAUAAGGACCUUAGGAUUUUUUUUCUAUCAGUCUGUACAUAACUCAGAAUUGAAAGAUUAGCUAUAGAUAAACAUCCUGCCCAAGGCAAUAUCAGAUAUUAAGAAAGACUAGAAUCUGGCAGUUAUGUCUAUUUGAACUAAGUAGACAGGGAUUUGUGAAGUUUUAUAAGAGAGAUCCCAAAAGCACAGAAAGAAAGAAUACAAUUUUCUUGACUUCAUGUGGUAAAUCUCUUUCUUGUACAUAUGUCAUCAGUCUAAUCAUGCAAGAGUUGGCACACUAAAAGUAGUGAGAAAAGUUUGUGAAGUAGAAUGCUGCCUUUAUAUGUGAGUCUUUGUCAAAUUAUCUAGUGAACUGGAGGGGGUGUAACAUACUAAUUUCCUAUAGUGAAUAUAAUCAUUGUGUCUUGCAAACAUGUACUAAUAAAAGUUAAAAAAGAGAGAGAAAAUGGAAGGAGAAAGGAGGAAGAGGAGGAGAAGGGGAUGAAAAAAGAAUUAAGAUGUAUUAUGUACAUGUGUCAACUCUAUACAAGGAAUGUAAAUUUUAUGUACUGAAAACAUGUGAUUAAAAAAAGUAUCUAAUGAAAAGGUAUAAACAGGACUGAGAUUUAUUUUAUACUCAUAUUUUUAAUCACUCUAGAAUGUUCUUAACUCUUUAAUUAUAUGAUGCUUCUACCAGAUUUUUAAUGAUUUAUCAAAAGUUUGGAAAAUUAAACAGUAUUUGAGGGAGACAUAAACACCAACAUUGGUCCAUCAAGAGUUCCUUUUAAUUUCUGUUAUGUAUUGUUAUGUAUUGAUAUAUGUGUGAGUACGUAUUUUAAUAUCUAAUUUUCUGAAAUUAGAGGACAUCAUAUUCAAAAGCAUUAAAAUUUAAAGAGUGAAUAUUCUCUGUUGCUCUUUUAAAAGAUUAAUCCCAGUUAGCACACUUUUAUAAAAAUGUAGAAUGAAAAACAAUGUUUAUACUUUUACAAAUAUUUGUGUGGUGAAAUCAGAAACAGAUUGAGUUAUUAAUGUCUCCAUACAAAUCUAAAUUCUUUUCCAAGUUCAGAGACAUCUAAAGACAUGGAAAUGAUUGACUGAUGGUUAGAACCAAAUUUUAUUGGGUUAAUUCUACCUCUGUGAAAGAACUUAGUGAGUAUUGUAUCUUAUCUUGGAGAGUUAUAAUUUUGGAUAUAACAUCUCUUUGCAUAUUUAUUCAACAUGUAAUGUGUAAGCAACUAUUAUCCAUCAGUAGUUGCUCUGGGUUCUGCAAUGGGUCUCAAGAAUCUCAUGCAGGUAUUUUAUUCCUUUGAGCACACAGGUAGAUAAUAAACCACAAUAUUAAUAAACAAGUGAUAAAACAUUGGUGGAAUUUUUUUCCUUGAAAUGAAUACAGCAAGCAAAUAAAAUUGGAAAAGGUUCAUGAUGGGAUCUGUGUUUAGCUAUGGUGGUCUGGAAGGACUUCAUUGUGGAGGUCACAGCUGACAGAAAAGCAGAUUGUUGGGAAGGCUGUGACAUUACUCCAACUAGGUAAAGAUGAUUUCAACUUGAUUGUGUCAGUGAAAAAUAGUGAAAUAUGUUUGGAUAUGAGAAAAACUUUAAAAAUAUCAUAUACAAAAUGUUCUGAUAACAGUUACAUAUUCUAAAUCAAGCUUGAGAGUCUGGGGUUUUUAGAGCAAAUGUUGCUAAAGGGACCAGAAAACAGAAUUAGUUUUGAAAUUAUAUUUUUCUUUGUGAAAAUGAGUUCAGAUUCAUACGAAUGAGUCUAAAGUGAAAGUAAGGCAUCUAGGAUGUAUAGUUUUUAAAUGUGUAG